GACGAACGCUGGCGGCGUGCUUAACACAUGCAAGUCGAACGGAAAGGCCCUGCUUUUGUGGGGUGCUCGAGUGGCGAACGGGUGAGUAACACGUGAGUAACCUGCCCUUGACUUUGGGAUAACUUCAGGAAACUGGGGCUACUACCGGAUAGGAGCUCCUGCUGCAUGGUGGGGGUUGGAAAGUUUCGGCGGUUGGGGAUGGACUCGCGGCUUAUCAGCUUGUUGGUGGGGUAGUGGCUUACCAAGGCUUUGACGGGUAGCCGGCCUGAGAGGGUGACCGGCCACAUGGGGACUGAGAUACGGCCCAGACGCCUACGGGAGGCAGCAGUGGGGAAUAUUGCACAAUGGGCGGAAGCCUGAUGCAGCAACGCCGCGUGCGGGAUGACGGCCUUCGGGUUGUAAACCGCUUUCGCCUGUGACGAAGCGUGAGUGACGGUAAUGGGUAAAGAAGCACCGGCUAACUACGUG
This 468-nucleotide ribosomal RNA is filed under the name uncultured bacterium. Its description in RNAcentral is "partial 16S ribosomal RNA". It matches the Rfam family "Bacterial small subunit ribosomal RNA", at positions 28 to 507 of the family's 1533-position model. The record is from RNAcentral.